AGAGUCGAAGUAGGAGUAGGAGUGGGAGGUGUGUGAGUGAGCCAGAGCCACUCUCUGCACUGCAGUGAACCAGUCCAAGUCCAACAAGAACUCUUGCCCACGGUACACGAAUGAAGAAUUAAUUCAGUUGGUUGCUACUUUCGUAUGUCACUUUGGACUGUCUGAUUGUUCUAGUUAUUUUCGACAAUAAGUAGUUGCUAUUGUUUACAUUUAUAAGUUCGCUCGUUCUUUUUGUCAAAGACAAAGUUACAACUGAUAAGUGAGUGGUAUCGGAAAGGAAAUAAUCGACCAGAAACCAGCCCGGAUGCUCACACCAGCAACCAGUUCAAGAUGGCCUCAUUACACACUAAUCAAAUCCUACAUCACUUGUGAUCGACGUGUAUUGACAUACUAACCGAAAGUAUCGUUUUAUUUAUUGGUGAGUAAAGUUUCUUGAAUUUGAACGAACAAAUAGAACAGUUUAGAACGACAGUCGUGAAAAUGUGUCGGGCAGUUGCCAGUUGUCCCGGAUUGCUUGUGUUUGUGUAAACGAAUCGGCGACGCCGCAUUUUACUUUUUACUAUCUCCUAUGUAUCUACUUAUAUACACUUUAUAAAAUAUUGAAAUUAACUUAUCACUAUGGCUGCCCAAAGAUCUGACUCAACGCCGAUCUGUCGCUGCAGAGUCCUCUACUUGGGCUCUUCUGUACCUCAUGUCACUAAGGAUGGACUACAGGGAAUUCAGGAACCUCUCAGAGAAUUGUAUCCAGAACAAGGAGCCAUAGGUGCAAAAGGCAUUGAUUCUUGGUUGAGUGUAUGGAGCAAUGGUUUGUUGCUUGAAAAUGUUGAUGAAAAUCAUAAAAAAGUUAGUAGGUUCUUCCCCAUAGAUACAUUACAUUACUGUGCAGCUGUACGCUACGUUUUGGUGCCAGAGAAGUCAUCAUCGUUAUCUUCGUCAUCGCAACCCAGAUUUCUACCCCUUGACUCACCGUUUGCAAGAACUCCGAAUCCAAGUCAUCCACCUCUGUUCGCUGCAAUACUUCGCAGGACGACAGGUAUCAAAGUUCUAGAAUGUCAUACAUUUAUCUGCAAGAGAGAAAUGGCAGCUAAUGCUCUAGUACGUUGUUGUUUUCAUGCUUAUGCUGAUUCUUCAUAUGCUAGACACAUUGACUCUGGUGGUAACUCUAAUAGUGUGUAUGGUACACUUAGGAAUUAUAAUCAGCCUAUACAAUCUAAUAAUAUUGAGAAAGUUGAAGGAUGGAAUAGAAUGGCACCCAGUGGUAGCAUGCUUACAUUAAACAGCACAAGUUUACAGAACAAUAUGGAUGUAGGAAAUCAUCAAAGUCAUUUAGCACCCACCCCUGAUAAUGAUACUUCUAUAGAUGAUAUGUCAAUUUGUAAUGGUGAUGAGAAUCAUAAAAUUUGGGCUGGUAGUACAAAAGAUAUAUCUUCUAAUGAUCGAGAUUAUAUCUAUGGUGAGUGUGGGGGGAGUACUAUGAGAAGUACUCGUUCAAUCAGACCAAGACAAAUAAUGAAUGCACCACCCCCACCACCACCACCAGUCAAGGAAGAGAAAAAAAAGUUGAAUAAAGACAAGUCAAAACGCAAAAAAGGAGGGCCAGAUAGGGAAGAAAUGCAUCAUAUGAUGAUGAAUGGAACAUUGAUGAGACCAGCCACAGCCCAAGGUAUGAAUGGAAUAAGAUCACACAGUUCGAUGAGUGGAACUAUGAUGAGAGGAGCACACAUGCAUCCCAAAGGCACAAUUCUAAGGCCAGCUUCAUCGCAUCUUAGUUAUCAUCCGAACUCUCCUCCUCCACCACCUCUACCACCACCGAUGAUAAUGGUGCCCACCACUCUGCCCAAUCCAAAGAGGUCAGCGGCGCAAACACUCCCCCACCGCCCUCCAAAAGGAAGUAUCAUGGUUCCUAUCCAUCCUCAAAUGGUGCCUCCAAACUUCUUUCCUCUUCCACCACACCCCAUGUACUUACAGGCUGGAAGAAAACCUCCAAAACACUAUCAAGUAGCAAUGGAAGAACCAAUCUACAUGCCUUCAGCUCGACCCAUGAGUCCAGUUGCCUCCUACCAGCCCAGCCAUUUCCCACAUGAAGCCUACCUCAUGCAACAGUAUGCCACACUCUAUGGCACUGGCAAGAAGAAAGACAAACACGACAAGAAUAUGGUGCCAAUGCCCAUGAAUGGGGGCAACUACAGCGAGGAGCAGUACAAUCAUCCAGCAAUGCAUAGUAAAAGAGGAAAGGAAUCGAAAAAAGGCAAAGACAGGCCUCAGAGCAUGAAUGGCAGUCAUCCAGGUGAUGACGACGACGAUGAGUCCCCUUUCAACUCUCGUGUCUAUCGUAAAAAGAGUAAAGAAAUGAAAAAUGGUAGAAAAUCGGCACAUGAUAAUCAUGAUGAUGAGAAUGACGGUGAAUCACCCUUUAACACUGGAAUAUAUCGCAGGAAAGGUCAUCUCAAUGAAAGAGCUUUUUCAUAUUCCAUCCGGCAAGAACAUCGAUCAAGAUCGUAUGGAUCAUUGGCCAAUCUGAAAUUUGCACCUCCACCAACACUGCCUAUCAAUGGAAAUGGUUCAGCCUCGCCACCAGGAGACAAUAAGGCCUACUACAAUGGAUCAGUCAAUAAGUUGGAGAUGAAGAAGGAACGUGAGAUAAUCCAGAUGAUGCAGGACUUGGAGCUUACUGGAGAUGAGCUGGAGAGAUGUGAGGUCCCAGCAGCAGUCUAUCAACAGCAGCAGCAGAUGCAUCAUCCUGCAAAACUAAGGAGAUAAGGAAGCAGCUGACGUCGAUAAUGAAUUGUCAGCUCGGCCGUCCAAAAUUGUUGAAACGUAUGGUGGAAACUUGUAAGACUGUAAGCGAUAGCGAUUUGCACUUGUUAAGAAAAUUAUUCAUUAUUGAUCAAGUCAAAUAACAUGUAUUUAAUUAUUUUUGUUCAUUCCAGUUUGUGGAUUAUAUGGUAUUAGACAAGCGAAGUUUUUGAGAAAUAAGUCACUGUAAUAUUUAUAAAUUCGUGGGAGAGUGUAAAGAGGGAUAAGUUACUUUUUUCCCAAAAUGUGUUUUUUGAUCUAAUUCACUCAUAAGCCGAUUCUUGAGAAGUGUUAAAGGAGUACCUACAUUAGGCGAGCUAAUAUUGAAAUAUCGAAGAAGUCGAUAUUUAAAUAUUUUAGCCUCAAUAAUUGAGAAAGUGUCCAAUGGAAUAAAAGGUUUAUGUCAUAUCAGGUAGACUUAUUCCCUUUUACAUGAUCAGAGAGUAAUGAGUAUACCCACAAGACUUUUGUAACAAGGGACAAGUUUGAAACGUUCUGACUUGUCUCCUGAAAAAGCAACCUGCAAGAUGUCACAUGCAGAUAAACUGUUUAAUAUGAUAUUUCAAAAUGAGAAUGGCGAAGAAGCAGUCAGUUCAUUAAAGAUUUCUAGAGAAUUUCCCGCAAUAAUGUUUCACCAAUCGGAAUCAACUUUAAAAUCAGCUGAUCACCUGCUUAACAUUGAACUGAACUCACAUCCUGAGAUCCUGUGUUGUUUUGGUGUAACCAAGCAUUAAUCACUCUCGCUUCAAUAUUUAUGGCAUUCAUUAUUAAAUAAUGCAUUUUAUUGAUGCUCGACAAAUAUUGUUGUCAUUAAAUAAAUGUUUGUCAUUGUCAUUGAAAAUGUAGACAAGAAUGCAUUAUAGAAUUUUCAAUUUCAAUUUCAAUUUAUUUAUCCUUUUUACAACAUAGUUAUUGUACAAAGUAGUUAUGAAAUAAAUAACUUAAAACUAAAACAAAAUAACUUAAAAUAGCAGGUUAACAAAAACACGGAAGGUCCCUGCAAAGGCAAAGCCUGUGCGCAGGGGCCGAGUGUUACAAAAAACUACAGAACCAAAGUGAAAGCAUAAAACAAAAAUAUAAAUUAUAAGUAUGAAAUUU
RNAcentral lists this unclassified non-coding RNA (3894 nucleotides) under Nilaparvata lugens (brown planthopper). RNAcentral describes it as "uncharacterized LOC111044846, transcript variant X2". The record is from RNAcentral. Lineage: Eukaryota; Metazoa; Arthropoda; Insecta; Hemiptera; Delphacidae.